GUUAGACGAACGGUCUGGAAAGUCCGACGAUACAGGGUGAUAGUCCCGUAGUUGACGACGUGUGUUCAGUGAAAUCGAGUAGGGCGGGACACGUGAUAUCCUGUCUGAAUAUGGGGGGACCAUCCUCCAAGGCUAAAUACUACUGACUGACCGAUAGUGAACCAGUACCGUGAGGGAAAGGCGAAAAGAACCCCUGUGAGGGGAGUGAAAUAGAACCUGAAACCGUGUACGUACAAGCAGUAGGAGCA
RNAcentral lists this ribosomal RNA (248 nucleotides) under Vibrio parahaemolyticus. RNAcentral's name for it is "partial 23S ribosomal RNA". It matches the Rfam family "Bacterial large subunit ribosomal RNA", at positions 328 to 581 of the family's 2925-position model. The record is from RNAcentral. Lineage: Bacteria; Pseudomonadati; Pseudomonadota; Gammaproteobacteria; Vibrionales; Vibrionaceae.